Molecule: long non-coding RNA, 862 nt
Organism: Daktulosphaira vitifoliae (grape phylloxera)
Lineage: Eukaryota; Metazoa; Arthropoda; Insecta; Hemiptera; Phylloxeridae
Exons: 4
Source: RefSeq, a predicted model, not a curated record
UAUGUGGAGAAAUAAAUCUGUAUUGUAGCACAGAUUUGUUUUUUUUUUUACUUUUGUAUUAAUUUGUUUAUAAAAUAAUGAAUUCUAAAUUAUUUGAUAUCUUUAAACCAAAAAAUUCUGAACCAGCGAUGACUUCUAAUCAAACAUCCAGCUUGGAUAUUGCAAAUAGUACAAAAUGGUCCAAAAAGAUCAAAAUUAGAGGAAAACUAACAAAGCCUGAUGCUCAUGCUAGUACAAAAACUCAUUUAACUCGUAUUGCUAAAAGGACAGGACAUUAAACAUAACUGUCAAAAAAACUGACACUGUUCAUACCUAUCUAAUAACUAGAAGUUGCCACUAAUAGGUAAUAUAUGAAAAGUCUAAUUGACAAAAAUGUAUUUAGUUUACAAGGCCUGAUACAAUAAAAAUAAUUCAUCAUUAAAUCAAGGAAAUUUCAAUGAAACCUAUUGUUGUGACCGGGUUGGUACGGUAGACAAAAUGAAGUGAUAAUGCGUUUGAAUUUAGUUGCUAUUUAUUAUAUUUAAAUAUAUAUUUACACUUAUAAUUGUCUUUACGACUUUAAUGAGUUGAUACUUAAUUAAUAUAAAAGAUUCAGUGAACAAAAUAACAUAAAAGAUUCAGUGAAAGUGAUUCAGUGGAGAGGUGUCCAGGUUCGACCCUAUGAACUAUAUGACUCUUGAACAAGAAGUUGACUACUACUGGCGCAUCGCCUCUGGAGGCGGCGGCCAUAGGCCCAAUACAUUGAAAAGGACUGAGCAAGCCUCGAAUGUUCUAGAAAGACUAGAUGCUUGCCUGGUUAAUACUUUAUAUAUAAGACAAAGGGGCUUCCGUUCCCAUGAUUAAUAUAUAUAUAUAUAUAUAU